CGGAGCCGAUCCCGGAGCCGAUCCCGGCGCGGAUCCCGGCGGUCCCGGUGCGGUGCCGGUGCCGCUCGCGGUGCGGGGCUCGGUCGCUCCCGCUGCGGGGCCGCCAUGGCGUGGCCCUGCAUCACCCGCGCCUGCUGCAUCGCCCGCUUCUGGAACCAGCUGGACAAGGCGGACAUCGCCGUCCCGCUCGUCUUCACCAAGUACUCGGAGGCCACCGAGCAUCCCCCCGCGGCCCCGCCGCGCCCCGCGGCCCCCAUCGAGACCCAGCCGGGCGGGGAGGCGGCGGCGGGCGGGGAGCCGGGUCCCGGUGCCGCCCGGCCCGGCCCGGCCCCGCACGCCUCGCCCCCGGCGGACUCGGUGAUGCGGCACGACUACAAGCCCUGGAAGGUGCAGCGGCCCGAGCCGAGCUGCAAGCCCAAGAGCGAGUACCAGCCCUCGGACACUCCCUUCGAGAAGGAGACGCAGUACCAGAAGGAUUUCCGUGCCUGGCCCAUCCCCAAGCGGGGCGACCACCCCUGGAUCCCCAAACCGGGCCCUUCGCCCGUGCUGGCCCUGGACCGCGCUUCCCCGGAGAAACCGGCGCAGGAGAAGCGGCGGAAGGUGCACAUCGCUCCCGAGAAGAAGGAGGAAGACCUCGAGGCGGAGGAUGAGCAUCCCAAAGCGGUGCGGGCCGGGGACGGGAGAGACAAGGGUCGGAAGAAGGCGGAGGAGGCGGGCGGGCAGCCGGCCGAGCCGGGCAGGGGCCGGGCGGCCGCCGAUGCUCUCAACAGGCAGAUCAAGGAGGAGGUGGCGGCGGGGGUCAGUUCGUCCUACAGGAACGAGUUCCGGCCCUGGAUAGACGUGAAGCCCGUGAAAGCGAUACGAGCCAAGCCCCAGUACAAACCACCAGAGGAGAAAAUGAUCCACGAAACCAGUUACAGCGCCCAGUUCAAGGGGGAAACCAGCAAGCCUUCUCCAGCUGACAACAAAUACCUGGAGCGCAGGAGGAUACGCACCCUCUACAGCGAGCCCUACAAAGAACCUCCCAAGGUGGAAAAGCCUAGCAUAAAGCCUUCCAAACCAAAAAAGACCACAACAAGCCAUAAACCCCUGAAAAAGGCCAAAGACAAGCAGAUUGCAUCUGGCCGGGCUGCCAAGAAAAAGAGCGCCGAGACCUCCAACACAGCAAAGCCAGAGGACAAGGAGAAAAGUAAAGAGAUGAACAAUAAACUGGCUGAGGCAAAAGACUGGGAAAUACUGUGAUGUUCGGACAUGGGCUUCAGCUCUGCCUGGUUCCAGCAGUGCCAUGGGUGCCCUGGGAACAGCUCCCUGAUCCUGACUGUCCUGUGGAGAAGAUGUGAGCAAAGGAUAAAAGAAAAUCCUGCUAAUGGGUUGAAGGCAUCUUUCUGCUUCCUAAAAGGCCAGCUCUCCCUGCAGGCAGUCUGCUCCAGGGAAGACAAGGACCAGCCAUCGGAAAAAUGAUGGAUGAGGAGCAGUGACAGACCUCAGUGACGUGUGAGAGCCCUGAGGAAUGAUAACUGUGCCUUCAGUGUGUUCAGUGGUGUGUGAGGUGGAAGGGGGAAGCAUUUCUGACCCCUCCCUGUUGUCCCCUGCCCACCCUAACCCAGCCUGUGGCAUGCAGCAGCCCCAAACCCCUGAGCAAAGCUGGGUCUUCUGUGUCUUCCUGGGGAGACCUGCAUGUCCUGCCUGGCUCUGGGAGAGGUCUGGAGAGCUGGGUCACAGCAGAGGGUGAGGAGCACCAGGCGUGGCACAGGGUGGAGGGGAUCCCACCACACAGUGGGUGGCUGAUGGGUCUGUCUUUAUCAGUUAAACAGCACUCAGGAGAACUUGGUGGUGCCAGGACCAGAUGGUCAGCAUAGAGAAAUCCUGAGAGUAGCCCCUGGCCUUUGGACUGAGCUGUUCCUUGGGCUGGUUCAGGAUUUAGGACCCAACUGAGACAAGCUCAGCUGUGGCCACCUUGUUUGGAGCCAGGGGAUUUGCCCAGAGAAGCUGUGGCUGCCCCUGGAUCCUUGGAAGUGUCCAAGGCCAGGUUAGAUGGGCUUGGAGCAAGUUGGGAUAGUGAGAGAUGUCCCUGCCCAUGGCAGGGGGUUUGGAUGAUCUUGAAAUCCUUCCAGACCAUUGUGUUGUUCUGUGGUUUGUCAGCAGGGACAUGAGCAAGGCACCUUUGAUUUCGUGACACAGGUCAUGCUUUGGAGCCAUAAGGACACUGAAUGUCCCUGCCCCCCUUGCCCCUGCUCCUGCCCCUCUGCCCAAGUUCCACUGCUGAUCACACACCUGUGUCCCUGCUGGCUCCUGUCCCUGCAGUGCCCUCACCCCGUCACAUCCCGUGUGCACACCAUGGUGCUGUUCCUUCUUGCCUUCAAAAUCAUUUCUACUCCCUCCUCCCUGCCUGUCUGUCCCACAACUGCUUCUUUGACCCCUUGCUUUCUCCCCUAAGCUACUUUCCCCUCCACACCAUCCUGAAUUCCCAGCUCCACCAGGGACCUUGUCCUUCCCAUUCCCCCCAGUGAGUGUCUCAUGUGCUGUCCUCCUGGACUGUGAGUCUUUCUCUCUGCCUGUACUGUGUGAUCUCACUCACUGCCUGGAAUAAACGAUACCUCACUCACCAACUGCCCCUUCUCUCUCUCUUUUCUUGGUGUGUGGCUUCACUGGCUGUGUCUGCAAGUGCAUCGUGUGCCUGUCCCUGUGGCCACUGGAGCAGUUGUUCUCACUGCUGCCUCUCUCCCCACAGUCCUUUGGGGUGACUCUGCUCGUGCUCUUGUCCUCUGGUGCCUUUGUUUCUCUCUUUUACAGCCCCAGGGACGAGCUCUGCUGGCAGCGCAGGAGCCCGGCACACUCAGAGCUGCAGCACCUCCUGUCCCUUGCCAUCCUGGUGCAUCUGAUAGAGUUGGCCUCCCUCCAGCUCCCUGCAGAGGUGUCCUGUGCUGCCAGGUGGCUCAACAAAUGCAGCAGGCGAGGAGAGUGAAGGAGAAAUCUGGUAGCCCAGAGCAGAAGCAGCUGAUGGUGAAGGAACGUCACUACUCUGGGACAGAAAACAGUGGGCACAAGUGUGUCAGUGCAAGCCCAAGCAGGACAAGCAGCAGAAGCUGGCUUGGCAUGUUCCAGAGAUGGAUGCCCAGGAGGUUUCUUCUGGCUCAGAAGGUGCCCUGAACAUUUGCUUCCUCCAUCCCAGGCCAGGACUGGACGUGCCACCGAGGUCCCCAGCUGACCUUAGGGGUCUACUGAAGUCUUCUGACAUCUAGAUUUGUGCCAGCAGAGCUCUGGAAGAGCUUCUCUAUCUGCUGCUCUGCAGGCAGACCUUGGUUUGAACUAUGAAGGGCCGAGCUCCUUGUUGCUCACCUCACACCUACAAUCAGCUCAGAGCUCACAACCAGGCACCUUCUCCUCCUUCAGACCUUGCUGGCCCCAAACUGGUGCAGGUUUCCAGGUCUCACCCCAGCUGUGCAAUGACAGCACCCCUUCUGGCUGCUGAGGUGCAGAGCAAGGCUGGAAUGCUGCCUUGCACCCUCCCAGCUCACUCUUCCCAAGGCUGUACCCCGGGCCAGACCUCUCUGUGCAGCCCUGCAGAGAAGCAGCCAGGGCUGCUCCUGCUCUGCAUCCUGUGGUGGCCCUGGAGAAAAUCAUGGAAUCACCUCCCCCUCACACUCCUUCCAGUUUGGAAUGAAGCUUUACUGGCACAGACAGUCAUGCAAUUAUCUGUAUUCAGUGCUUCAGAGUGGAUUUUUUGCCUUCAGAGUUCUAUUCUGAAAUGCAGGGCAGCAGCAAGUGCAGGAUUGGACACCAAGGGAGAGGUCCUGGCUCCUCUGGAUCCUGUUGAGCCUGGAUCAUCACACACACUGGCACAGGGCAGCUUGAGCAUCUUCCCCUAAUGCUCUGAUUUAUGGUGCUGGGUUCUCCUCAGUCCCACAGGAACUGGAAAGCUGAAAGAACUCAGCACAUUUCCUACCGACCUCUGCCAAACAGCUUCUGGCAGCAAAGAGCUCCUCGUGGUCAGCACAGAGGGCAGGGUAAGGGACCCCUGAGAAAAACCCUGGUGCUACAGAGCAAGAGCCAAGUACCUUAGUGCAGGAGCAACCCUCGUGAAGUCGGGAACUCGUCUGAGCAGCCGCUGGAGCACACGUAUAGUCUGCAUGAAACGUGCGCGGUCUGGUGGCCUCCAAUAAAGCCCGCGAGCAGAGCUCGGUGACACCUCCCCUUGUCUCUCAAGCACGUGGAGUUCCGUCACCGGGACCUGUGUGAUGAAGUGUAGCAUGUCUGUGCCUGGAUGUAAGUACAGUAAAGUCAGAGAAAGAAAAAUGGGUCUGGUUCUCCCUUUAUUUGUAGCUGUGGAACAGCACUUGGGUCUCUUACCGAUAUCUAAUCUAAAUCAACUCUCUUUCAGUUUGUACCCACUCCCCCUUGUCCUGUCACUCCAGUUCCUGUUGGGCAGCCCCCCUCUGGUUUCCCUGUAGCCCCUUCAGAACCUGGAGGGUGCUGUGAGGUCUCCACACAACGUUCUCUCCUCCAGGGUGAACAGUCCCAACCUUCUCAG
Myiozetetes cayanensis is the source of this 4531-nucleotide RNA transcript. It is a transcript of the gene named microtubule associated protein 6, with no coding region annotated. NCBI's taxonomy places the organism in Eukaryota, Metazoa, Chordata, Aves, Passeriformes, Tyrannidae. The record is from RefSeq and is a predicted model, not a curated record. The transcript is spliced from 6 exons.